Molecule: unclassified non-coding RNA, 198 nt
Filed under: uncultured fungus
Lineage: Eukaryota; Fungi
Description: sequence contains ITS1
Source: RNAcentral
UUAACUUUAUUUAUAAUAUUACUCAGACAACACAAAAAUCAAGAGUUUGGGGUCCUCUGGCAGGCGCGGACCAGCCUAAGCCGGUGGUCAACAGACGGGCCUGCCAAAGCAACAUAGGUAAUGUAAACAAAGGGUGGGAGAUCUACCCCAAAGGGCAAUUUCUCUGUAAUGAUCCUUCCGCAGGUUCACCUACGGAAA